This 87-nucleotide transfer RNA is filed under the name bacterium. Its description in RNAcentral is "tRNA-Ser". It matches the Rfam family "tRNA". Rfam says of the family: Transfer RNA (tRNA) molecules are approximately 80 nucleotides in length. Their secondary structure includes four short double-helical elements and three loops (D, anti-codon, and T loops). Further hydrogen bonds mediate the characteristic L-shaped molecular structure. tRNAs have two regions of fundamental functional importance: the anti-codon, which is responsible for specific mRNA codon recognition, and the 3' end, to which the tRNAs corresponding amino acid is attached (by aminoacyl-tRNA synthetases). tRNAs cope with the degeneracy of the genetic code in two manners: having more than one tRNA (with a specific anti-codon) for a particular amino acid; and 'wobble' base-pairing, i.e. permitting non-standard base-pairing at the 3rd anti-codon position. RNAcentral also lists the same sequence under 1 other name. The record is from RNAcentral.
GGAGGCGUGGCAGAGUGGUCGAAUGCGCUAGUUUCGAAAACUAGUAUGUGGGAAACCGCAUCGGAGGUUCGAAUCCUCCCGCCUCCG